UCGCAGCUGACUGCAGCCUCAACCUUCCAGGCUGAAGCGAUCCUCCCACCUCAACCUCCCACGUGGCUGAGACUACAGGUGCUUGCCACUAUGCCCAACUAACAUUUGGAAUUUUCGUAUACGUGGAUUCUAGAGGGGUGACAGCGAAACCUCCUACCUCCCGGCAGCCUCUCCAGGCCCAGAACUUUCUCCAGUCAGCCUCUACAGACCAAGCUCAUGACUCACAAUGGCCUAUUUAGGCCCAUACCCUACGUCACGGCAGCCUCCGCAGAUGAGGCUACUGCCUCACAACAGCCUCCACAGGCACAGCUCCAUCGUUACAAUGGCCUCUUUAGACCCAGCUCCUGCCUCCCAGCCUUCUCUCCAGGCCCUGAACUUUCUCAAGUCGACCUCACCAGGCCCAGCUCAUGCUUCUUUGCAGCCUCUCCAGGCCCAGCUCCUGCAUCUUGGUGGCCCCUC
Molecule: long non-coding RNA, 459 nt
Filed under: Homo sapiens (human)
Lineage: Eukaryota; Metazoa; Chordata; Mammalia; Primates; Hominidae
Description: long intergenic non-protein coding RNA 1002
Source: RNAcentral